This 329-nucleotide long non-coding RNA is filed under the name Phaseolus vulgaris (common bean). RNAcentral describes it as "long non-coding RNA (PVUL_LNC005172)". The record is from RNAcentral. Lineage: Eukaryota; Viridiplantae; Streptophyta; Magnoliopsida; Fabales; Fabaceae.
AAGCAGCAACAGAUGAUGGCCUUCUUGGCUAGAGCUUUGAAGAACCCCACCUUCAUCCAGCAGCUACUCCAGCAGAAAGAGAAGAGGAAGGAGCUUGAAGAGGCCAUCUCAAAGAAGAGGAGAAGACCAAUUGAGCAAGGACCAAGAGGGGUUGGAGAAUCAAGCAUUGGAAGGGAAGGAAUAAGCAGUGUUAAAGUGGAGUCCCAAGUGUUUGGGGAAUAUGGAUUUGGAGUCUCAGAGUUGGAAGUUCUGGCUUUGGAGAUGCAAGGUUAUGGUAGGGGAAAAAGGGAACAAGAAGAAGAGCCUGAGGCACUAGAAUCACAAGAGAG